This 484-nucleotide ribosomal RNA is filed under the name uncultured bacterium. RNAcentral's name for it is "partial 16S ribosomal RNA". It matches the Rfam family "Bacterial small subunit ribosomal RNA", at positions 30 to 507 of the family's 1533-position model. The record is from RNAcentral.
AUUGAACGCUGGCGGCAGGCCUAACACAUGCAAGUCGAGCGGAUGAAGGGAGCUUGCUCCUGGAUUCAGCGGCGGACGGGUGAGUAAUGCCUAGGAAUCUGCCUGGUAGUGGGGGAUAACGUCCGGAAACGGGCGCUAAUACCGCAUACGUCCUGAGGGAGAAAGUGGGGGAUCUUCGGACCUCACGCUAUCAGAUGAGCCUAGGUCGGAUUAGCUAGUUGGUGGGGUAAAGGCCUACCAAGGCGACGAUCCGUAACUGGUCUGAGAGGAUGAUCAGUCACACUGGAACUGAGACACGGUCCAGACUCCUACGGGAGGCAGCAGUGGGGAAUAUUGGACAAUUGGCGAAAGCCUGAUCCAGCCAUGCCGCGUGUGUGAAGAAGGUCUUCGGAUUGUAAAGCACUUUAAGUUGGGAGGAAGGGCAGUAAGUUAAUACCUUGCUGUUUUGACGGUACCAACAGAAUAAGCACCGGCUAACUUCGUG